GAGUUUGAUCGUGGCUCAGAUUGAACGCUGGCGGUAUGCUUAACACAUGCAAGUCGAACGGUAACAGGCUAGCUUGCUAGCGCUGACGAGUGGCGGACGGGUGCGUAACGCGUAGGAAUCUGCCUAUUAGUGGGGGACAACCUGGUGAAAACCAGGCUAAUACCGCAUACGCCCUACGGGGGAAAGCAGGGGAUCUUCGGACCUUGCGCUAAUAGAUGAGCCUGCGUUAGAUUAGCUUGUUGGUGAGGUAAUGGCUCACCAAGGCGACGAUCUAUAGCUGGUCUGAGAGGACGAUCAGCCACACUGGGACUGAGACACGGCCCAGACUCCUACGGGAGACAGCAGUGGGGAAUAUUGGACAAUGGGCGGAAGCCUGAUCCAGCAAUACCGCGUGUGUGAAGAAGGCCUGAGGGUUGUAAAGCACUUUCAAUUGGGAGGAAAACAGGACAGGUUAAUAUCCUGUCUCUUGACAUUACCUUUAGUAAGAAGCACCGGCUAACUCCGU
RNAcentral lists this ribosomal RNA (505 nucleotides) under uncultured microorganism. Its description in RNAcentral is "bacterial SSU rRNA". It matches the Rfam family "Bacterial small subunit ribosomal RNA", at positions 9 to 506 of the family's 1533-position model. The record is from RNAcentral.